CCCUUAGAUGUUCUGGGCCGCACGCGCGCUACACUGGUACGUUCAACAAGUUUACAACCUUGAUCGAUAGGUCUGGGUAAUCUUUUUAAUGCGUACCGUGCUAGGGAUAGAUUAUUGCAAUUAUUAAUCUUGAACGAGGAAUUCCUAGUAAACGCAAGUCAUCAGCUUGCAUUGAUUACGUCCCUGCCCUUUGUACACACCGCCCGUCGCACCUACUGAUUGAAUGACUCGGUGAAAAAUUGGGACUGUGAGAACAAUCGAUUCAGUUCGAAUGUACUCGUGGAAACUUUUUUUAACCUCGCCAUUUAGAAGAAGGUGANGUCGUNACA
RNAcentral lists this ribosomal RNA (329 nucleotides) under uncultured eukaryote. RNAcentral describes it as "partial 18S ribosomal RNA". It matches the Rfam family "Eukaryotic small subunit ribosomal RNA", at positions 1470 to 1796 of the family's 1831-position model. The record is from RNAcentral.